Molecule: transfer RNA, 72 nt
Filed under: Marmota marmota marmota (Alpine marmot)
Lineage: Eukaryota; Metazoa; Chordata; Mammalia; Rodentia; Sciuridae
Also listed under: 1 other name
Rfam family: tRNA
About the family: Transfer RNA (tRNA) molecules are approximately 80 nucleotides in length. Their secondary structure includes four short double-helical elements and three loops (D, anti-codon, and T loops). Further hydrogen bonds mediate the characteristic L-shaped molecular structure. tRNAs have two regions of fundamental functional importance: the anti-codon, which is responsible for specific mRNA codon recognition, and the 3' end, to which the tRNAs corresponding amino acid is attached (by aminoacyl-tRNA synthetases). tRNAs cope with the degeneracy of the genetic code in two manners: having more than one tRNA (with a specific anti-codon) for a particular amino acid; and 'wobble' base-pairing, i.e. permitting non-standard base-pairing at the 3rd anti-codon position.
Source: Rfam by way of RNAcentral
AGAGAUGUAGCUAAAUGGAAAAGCACUUGCCUAGCAUGCACAAAGCCUUGGGUUCAAUCCCCAGCACCACUA